GUUGGGAGAGUUUAUUUUUCUUCCCUUUGUUACAGACUUUUGGUAAAAAUCUUCUUUAUUUUUAUCUUAUCUCAUAUCUGAUAGAAGUAAUUGCGGGAUCCCUCUAUCCGUUGAUAUCCUUACAGGAAACAUCACAUAAAGAUCUGUCAACAUUGGUAGCCUUCCAGCUGUGGCGAGUUUUCUCAGAAUCUCAUCUACAGAAAGAUAUUGGAGUUCUUUCUUCUGCUCAUGACUCUAAUUAGCGGAUAAGAUCUUCAACCCCUGACAUAUCUGCGAGCUAUUAUGUACAAGCAUACACUCAACUCAUGAAGAGAAACAGAGAAUCUGUGGAAAAGCUCCUUGUUGACAGCCAAAUAGAGAGGUACGAGAGCAUGCUGCAUAUUUUCUGGAGGAGAUUAAUAUUUGCUGCAGAUUUUCGUGAUAGAUCCUAUUCAGAGGCAAACUCAAUCCAAAAGAGAAGAAACCGGAGGUAAAUCAAGUUCAACUCAGUCCAUUGCAAAGGUGCAUGCAGCCGUUCUUGGCUUGGUAGCUUCAGUUUUGUCUGUUCCUUAUGACAUACCCAGCUGGUUGCCGGAUCAUGUGACGUUACUGGCUCAUUUUGCUGGUGAACGUAUAAAAUCGAGUGUGACUAAAGCAGUAGCUGAG
Camelina sativa (false flax) is the source of this 645-nucleotide non-coding RNA. The record is from RefSeq and is a predicted model, not a curated record. NCBI's taxonomy places the organism in Eukaryota, Viridiplantae, Streptophyta, Magnoliopsida, Brassicales, Brassicaceae.